This 429-nucleotide ribosomal RNA is filed under the name Bacteroidota bacterium. RNAcentral describes it as "Bacteroidetes bacterium partial 16S ribosomal RNA". It matches the Rfam family "Bacterial small subunit ribosomal RNA", at positions 355 to 776 of the family's 1533-position model. Lineage: Bacteria; Pseudomonadati; Bacteroidota. The record is from RNAcentral.
UAGGGAAUCUUCCGCAAUGGACGCAAGUCUGACGGAGCAACGCCGCGUGAGUGAAGAAGGAUUUCGGUUCGUAAAACUCUGUUGUUAGAGAAGAACAGCGCAUAGAGUAACUGUUAUGCGUGUGACGGUAUCUAACCAGAAAGCCACGGCUAACUACGUGCCAGCAGCCGCGGUAAUACGUAGGUGGCAAGCGUUGUCCGGAUUUAUUGGGCGUAAAGCGAGCGCAGGCGGUCAAUUAAGUCUGAUGUGAAAGCCCCCGGCUCAACCGGGGAGGGUCAUUGGAAACUGGUUGACUUGAGUGCAGAAGAGGAGAGUGGAAUUCCAUGUGUAACGGUGAAAUGCGUAGAUAUAUGGAGGAACACCAGUGGCGAAGGCGACUAUCUAGUCUGUAACUGACGCUGAGGUUCGAAAGCGUGGGUAGCAAACAGG